GACGAACCGUGCGAACGUUGUUCGGAAUCACUGGGCUUAAAGGGCGCGUAGGCGGCGUGACAAGUCACUUGUGAAAUCUCUGGGCUUAACCCAGAACGGCCAAGUGAAACUGUUGUGCUAGAGUGCAGAAGGGGCAAUCGGAAUUCUCGGUGUAGCGGUGAAAUGCGUAGAUAUCGAGAGGAACACCAGAGGUGAAGACGGGUUGCUGGGCUGACACUGACGCUGAGGCGCGAAAGCCAGGGGAGCAAACGGG
This 253-nucleotide ribosomal RNA is filed under the name uncultured bacterium. RNAcentral's name for it is "partial 16S ribosomal RNA". It matches the Rfam family "Bacterial small subunit ribosomal RNA", at positions 524 to 776 of the family's 1533-position model. The record is from RNAcentral.